Molecule: ribosomal RNA, 314 nt
Filed under: Klebsiella pneumoniae
Lineage: Bacteria; Pseudomonadati; Pseudomonadota; Gammaproteobacteria; Enterobacterales; Enterobacteriaceae
Description: bacterial SSU rRNA
Rfam family: Bacterial small subunit ribosomal RNA
Source: RNAcentral
CCUGGGCUACACACGUGCUACAAUGGUCGGUACAAAGGGUUGCCAAGCCGCGAGGUGGAGCUAAUCCCAUAAAACCGAUCGUAGUCCGGAUCGCAGUCUGCAACUCGACUGCGUGAAGUCGGAAUCGCUAGUAAUCGUGAAUCAGAAUGUCACGGUGAAUACGUUCCCGGGCCUUGUACACACCGCCCGUCACACCAUGGGAGUGGGUUGCACCAGAAGUAGCUAGUCUAACCUUCGGGAGGACGGUUACCACGGUGUGAUUCAUGACUGGGGUGAAGUCGUAACAAGGUAGCCGUAGGGGAACCUGCGGCUGG